This 532-nucleotide long non-coding RNA is filed under the name Mytilus galloprovincialis (Mediterranean mussel). Lineage: Eukaryota; Metazoa; Mollusca; Bivalvia; Mytilida; Mytilidae. The record is from RNAcentral.
GGUGUAACACCACUAAUUCGGGCUCGGCCAGAAAGCACAUACAAGAAAGUAGUACAUAUUUAACACAAAAUAGUUCCUACGCAUGAGUGUAACUUUCAAAAUAUGUAGAAUAUUUAGGUAUUUUUGGUAUCAAAUGAAAGCUGAAGGACUGAUGAUCAUUGUAAAACACUUUUGGACUUUUAAUUUUGAAUAUUAAAAAAACUGCACCAAAUUUUAAAAAGAGGGUACAUUUUGUCUGUUUGUCAGUUCUGAAGUACCUGUACAUCCUAAGUUCUGGGAACCAGUUCUUUUUUAUAUGCCAUUAAAGGUAUGUUGAUUUUUUCAGUACAAGACACCAUAAAGUGUUGCUUUGCAAUGCAAUGAUUGCCACUUUAUUUGAACUUAAAACAAAAGAGGUGUGCCUGCUUGAAACGGAGGAAUUUAACAUAGAAAGCAAUGGGACCAUGAAUUAGUGGUGUACUUCCUAUUACAGAGAAUCAUCAGAAAUCCAAUUUUUAGAAGUUGUACCUAUUCCAAUGAAAAUAAGUCAAAU